This is a non-coding RNA of Dermacentor albipictus, 196 nucleotides long. The record is from RefSeq and is a predicted model, not a curated record. NCBI's taxonomy places the organism in Eukaryota, Metazoa, Arthropoda, Arachnida, Ixodida, Ixodidae.
AAUCGAUGAAGGUUGGAAGGCAUCUCAACAGAUAGCUGGAAGACGGGAGGCGGAAAGUUGGGCGGCCUGGAGGGUCGAGUGCUCGCCGUACUCGCCCGUACCGGCCCAGCUUCCGCCCCUGCGGAUUUUUUUCCUGGCGAUGCUGAGGAGGACGCAACCAGUGAGUCGGAUGGAGGAGUCGGAUGUUGGAGUGCCC